GACGAACGCUGGCGGCGUGCUUAACACAUGCAAGUCGAACGGAAAGGCCCUUCGGGGUACUCGAGUGGCGAACGGGUGAGUAACACGUGGGUGAUCUGCCCUGCACUUUGGGAUAAGCCUGGGAAACUGGGUCUAAUGCCGAAUAGGACCACGCGCUUCAUGGUGUGUGGUGGAAAGCUUUUGCGGUGUGGGAUGGGCCCGCGGCCUAUCAGCUUGUUGGUGGGGUAAUGGCCUACCAAGGCGACGACGGGUAGCCGGCCUGAGAGGGUGACCGGCCACACUGGGACUGAGAUACGGCCCAGACUCCUACGGGAGGCAGCAGUGGGGAAUAUUGCACAAUGGGCGCAAGCCUGAUGCAGCGACGCCGCGUGAGGGAUGACGGCCUUCGGGUUGUAAACCUCUUUCACCAGGGACGAAGCGUAAGUGACGGUACCUGGAGAAGAAGCACCGGCCAACUACGUG
This 462-nucleotide ribosomal RNA is filed under the name uncultured bacterium. Its description in RNAcentral is "partial 16S ribosomal RNA". It matches the Rfam family "Bacterial small subunit ribosomal RNA", at positions 28 to 507 of the family's 1533-position model. The record is from RNAcentral.